ACUAGGUAUCAGUGUUCUAGGUAUAAUACAGAAUAUUGUUAUACACUAGGUAUCAGUGUUCUAGGUAUAAUACAGAAUAUUGUUACACACUAGGUAUCAGUGUUCUAGGUAUAAUACAGAAUAUUGUUAUACACUAGGUAUCAGUGUUCUAGGUAUAAUACAGAAUAUUGUUAUACACUAGGUAUCAGUGUUCUAGGUAUAAUACAGAAUAUUGUUACACACUAGGUAUCAGUGUUCUAGGUAUAAUACAGAAUAUUGUUACACACUAGGUAUCAGUGUUCUAGGUAUAAUACAGAAUAUUGUUAUACACUAGGUAUCAGUGUUCUAGGUAUAAUACAGAAUAUUGUUAUACACUAGGUAUCCGUGUUCUAGGUAUAAUACAGAAUAUUGUUAUACACUAGGUAUCGUCGUCAGUGUUCUAGGUAUAAUACAGAAUAUUGUUAUACACUAGGUAUCAGUGUUCUAGGUAUAAUACAGAAUAUUGUUAUACACUAGGUAUCGUUGUCAGUGUUCUAGGUAUAAUACAGAAUAUUGUUAUACACUAGGUAUCAGUGUUCUAGGUAUAAUACAGAAUAUUGUUAUACACUAGGUAUCGUUGUCAGUGUUCUAGGUAUAAUACAGAAUAUUGUUAUACACUAGGUAUCGUUGUCAGUGUUCUAGGUAUAAUACAGAAUAUUGUUAUACACUAGGUAUCGUUGUCAGUGUUCUAGGUAUAAUACAGAAUAUUGUUAUACACUAGGUAUCAGUGUUCUAGGUAUAAUACAGAAUAUUGUUAUACACUAGGUAUCGUUGUCAGUGUUCUAGGUAUAAUACAGAAUAUUGUUAUACACUAGGUAUCAGUGUUCUAGGUAUAAUACAGAAUAU
This is a long non-coding RNA of Ylistrum balloti, 864 nucleotides long. RefSeq lists it as uncharacterized. The transcript is spliced from 3 exons. The record is from RefSeq and is a predicted model, not a curated record. NCBI's taxonomy places the organism in Eukaryota, Metazoa, Mollusca, Bivalvia, Pectinida, Pectinidae.